UUGCACAGUGAACACCCAAGUGUGCUUUCUAGUUCCCUUGGCUUUGACUCUGUGCUAGAGCAAUGUCUGUUCUUUACCUCUGCAUUGAAAGGAGUAUUUGUCCUUUUAAAUGUAUUCAAAAGGUCAGCACAUUU
Molecule: small nucleolar RNA, 134 nt
Organism: Trichechus manatus latirostris (Florida manatee)
Lineage: Eukaryota; Metazoa; Chordata; Mammalia; Sirenia; Trichechidae
Product: small nucleolar RNA SNORA22
Exons: 1
Source: RefSeq, a predicted model, not a curated record